GAUGAAGAACGCAGCGAAAUGCGAUACGUAAUGUGAAUUGCAGAAUUCAGUGAAUCAUCGAGUCUUUGAACGCACAUUGCGCCCUCUGGUAUUCCGGAGGGCAUGCCUGUCCGAGCGUCAUUGCUGCCCCUCAAGCACGGCUUGUGUGUUGGGCCCCGCCCCCCGAUCCCGGGGGGCGGGCCCGAAAGGCAGCGGCGGCACCGCGUCCGGUCCUCGAGCGUAUGGGGCUUUGUCACCCGCUCUGUAGGCCCGGCCGGCGCUUGCCGAUCAACCAAACUUUUUUCCAGGUUGACCUCGGAUCAGGUAGGGAUACCCGCUGAACUUAAGCAUAUCAAUAAGCGGAGGA
RNAcentral lists this unclassified non-coding RNA (346 nucleotides) under soil metagenome. RNAcentral's name for it is "partial contains 5.8S ribosomal RNA, internal transcribed spacer 2, and large subunit ribosomal RNA". The stretch from base 1 to 120 matches the Rfam family "5.8S ribosomal RNA", at positions 35 to 154 of the family's 154-position model. The record is from RNAcentral.